GCAUAUAUUUAAAUUUUUAGUAAAAUUUUAGAUUCUUUUCUCUAAAAGAUAAAAAUUAUGACUAAUUUAGUAAAAAAAAAAUAAUUUUAGGCCUUAAUGGCAAUUUGAAGAGCAAAUUAUUAGUUAAUCAAAAGGAAAAUUCGCCAACUAGCAUUUAUAGGCAUGCCGCCCAUGGAAACAAAACAAAAAUGGAAAAGCAACUCUCAGUUGCCUUUUUUUAGUUAUUAGACUCAAUAUGGAAUUCCACCAUCCGAAAGUAAUCCAAGCUAUCCCCAAUAAUAACCUUUCUCCCUCCCAUUUGAUCUUCCAGUCUUGUUUUGUCUUCAUGUAGAUCAUCUCAUCUCUCCUUGAAAAGCCAAAUAUUAGCUCAUUAUCCCUUGUACUUCCAAUAAAGUUUUGUCCUCAUCAAUAUCUUUAAUCAUCCUUAUACUAUUAACUUACAGGAUUAAAGUUACCUUACAGGAUUAAAGUCCUUUUUGGACAUUUCCUAAGCAAAGUCGUUCUCCGGUAUAACCUUAUCUCAAUUCUG
RNAcentral lists this unclassified non-coding RNA (529 nucleotides) under Hevea brasiliensis (rubber tree). Lineage: Eukaryota; Viridiplantae; Streptophyta; Magnoliopsida; Malpighiales; Euphorbiaceae. The record is from RNAcentral.